Molecule: long non-coding RNA, 1460 nt
Organism: Mus musculus (house mouse)
Lineage: Eukaryota; Metazoa; Chordata; Mammalia; Rodentia; Muridae
Product: predicted gene, 35524
Exons: 4
Source: RefSeq, a predicted model, not a curated record
GAAAGGCCCAAGGGCUGACUUGCCAGAGCAGGGAAAAUCCACUCAAUCAGCCCGUGAUUUGCAAUGGGGAAAGAACACCUGUCUGCAUCUGCUUUCCCAAUUGGAUGGUGAAUCUAGGACGACUGUUCUCAGGAGAAGCUCUCAACCCAUCAGAUGCGUGUAUAAAGGGAAUGUUAAUGCAAAAACAGCACCUCACCUCAAGCACAAAGAGGAGCUGCCAGAGCACACAGAGGCUGGAAAGUCGACUGAAGCAGGGACAGGAGGAGCUAUUCUGAACUGGUGCUGGUCCCUCCACUUGCCCCCUGCCCCCCAGCUAGCCCGAGCAGGGCACUGGGGCCCAGCAAAGACACUCUACCCAAAGCCUCUGCCUCCACCCCUCCUCCUGUUUGAUUCUACAUGGACCUUAAUGCUGCAUGUGGUACUUACUGCUCAUGUGGGGUGGAGAAUGAAACUGAAGGGACACGGUGGCCUGGAAAAGAUAGGUUGGCAGUCAAGGACAACUGUGUUGUCAUCUGCUUUGUGGCCCACCUCCUGGAGAAGGGGAACGUUGUGAAGAAAGAAAGCAUCAUCAUUUCAUUUCAGGAACCUGAGCUAGCCUGUGCAGCUGUCUUUAGACACACUGGAGGAGGCCCUCAGAUCCCAUUACAGAUGGCUGUGGGAAUUUAACUCAGGACCUCUGGAAGAGCUCAGCUCGUAACUGUUCAGCACUGAGUGGUCUCUCCAGCCUUGGAAUUCUCACUUCUUGACUGGAGGAUUGGUCAGUAGCCCCAGCAAGGAACUCUUUGCCUUCCCAUGUCCUCAUUGAGUUUUUCUGUUCCACCUCAGAACCAUGGAAAGGGGAAAGGAAAGCAGCGAGGCCUUUGCUACUGCUGGGACACAGCACCUGACUGGCAGUUUAACAACAGGCAUCUCACCACUUGCUAUUCUGAAGGCUGGAAGCCCGAGAUCAGCGAGAUCAGCAAGAUUAGCAUGCUGGCAUCUGGCAAGGGAUACCUCCUGCUGCAUAGAUGCUGCUUUUAGCCAUGUCCUCACAUGGCAACAGGCAAAAGGCACCUCUCUGGAGUCCUUUUCAUUGUGACUGAACAACUCAGCUCCUUGUAGCAGUCCUUGAAGAGAAGGCCAUCAGUGUGUGAGCUCUGGAGAAGCUGCAAGUGGUAUCCUUAGAGUUGGACAGAUCCUUUCAGCACCUUCUCUCUCAUCUUGUACCUUUGUUUUCUACAUUUUAAUUAUAUUUAUUAGUGUGUGUACACACGCAUCCACAAUAAAAGUGUGUGGGUGUUCAUGCCUCAGUGAUCAGAGAACGGGGGUGGUGGUAUACGCCUUUAAUCCCAGGCAAAGGCUGGCAUAGCUCUGUGACUUUGAGGCCAGCCUGGUUCUACAGAGCGAAUUCCAUGACAGCAGAGGUUACAAAUAGAAAUCCUGUCUCAAAAUACCAAAAAAAAAAAAAAAAAAAAAAAAAA